Molecule: microRNA precursor, 72 nt
Filed under: Myotis lucifugus (little brown bat)
Lineage: Eukaryota; Metazoa; Chordata; Mammalia; Chiroptera; Vespertilionidae
Description: mir-9193 microRNA precursor family
Rfam family: mir-9193 microRNA precursor family
Source: Rfam by way of RNAcentral
UUUGGGUCGGGGGUCCCUCAGCCCAGAUUGCGAGAAGGCACAGGCAAGACUGAGGGACCCGACUGGUGCACA